GGAAGGGUCAAACCAGCUGCCCAGACGCAUGUCAUUGCUGAUGAAGAUGGAGUGCACCUCGAUGCGGCUGUCCCGCUUCUGCAACAGAUGGCUUCUCUGAAAAUGCCACAAGAGCAGGAACACUGCAUUAUUCUUCACCGACAUGUUCUCAGAAACCAGGAUUGUUCCUGGUGCUUGGUGCCUCUGUCAGAGCCGCAUCUCCGGGUUGCGAGGCAGCCUCCACGCCCUGCAAGGCCCCGUCUCCGUGUACCAUUUCUAUCUUCUCCCACACAAGCUGGCCGAGACUUCCUUCUCCAAGAUGAGGAAUGGAGGUAUUCUGAAGCUGCAUGGCUCACAUAAGGUCACAAAGCUGGUCAGUAACAGAGUGUCUCAGUCUUUGGGGGCUGCUCUCAGAAAAUACCACAGACCGAGUGGCUUAUAAACAACAGAAGUUUAUUGCUCACGGUUCAAGAAGCUGGAAGUCCAAGAUCAGAAUGCCACCACGGUCAGGUUCUGGGGAAGGCCCUCUCUGGGUCGAGUGUGGCUCACUUCUCACUGUGUCUUCACAUGGCCGAAGGUGAGAAGGAUGUCUCUGGGGCCUCUGUUAUAAGAGCACUAAUCCCUAAUCACCUCCCAAAGGCCCCCACCUCCCUGGGCAUUAUAUUUUCAACGUAUGAAUUUGGGGCGGGGGGGGCGGGACGCAAACAUUCAAACCAGAACCCAGAACAAGGAUUCAAAACCAAGCCCUAAAUCUGCAUCUCAAGGUAACCUUGCUAUUAGCUAUACGUGUAACAAGCAAGGACUAGUAUGUGCUGGGUGCCUCCUAGAACUAUUCUACGUACUUCAUUCAUCCAGCAAAAUUCCUUGUGCACCUGUGCACAGGCAGUCUGUAGCAAACAUGUAUCAAACAAACCAGGCAAGUCCUAACGCCCUCAGAUAUAUCCACAUUAGCUCAUUAAGUCCUCGUGACGCAUGUCUUUGGUAGGGAUCACGUCCAUUUGCAUAGAUAACAAGAAGACAACCACCUGAGACGUGAGGUUAUGAGAUAACCUGGUAGGGGCCAAGGACACAGGAUCUGCGAAAGCUCUGCCAACAAUCAAUCAACCAAUCAACGAGUAUUUAUUGAGCAGCCACUGUUGAAUUCCAUACAAUUCAUCAAACAUUCACAGAACGCCUUUCCUGGAGUUCUUCAAGGAGUCGGCCCUGAUACCCCUGACCUGUCCUGGCUCCAGAUACCUCUGGCCUGCAGCAGGCACACGCGUUGCAGUUUUCCAUCCUUUACUGAGAACGUGGGGUGAAAGUCUGGCUCCUCCACACACCAAACGCUCCACAGGGGGAACUACAACCUGUGGGGAAGGCAGGUGCAUAUGCAACGGGCCGAGAUGCAUCCAAGUGGAGCGGAAGCUAUGUGUCAGUGAACGCUGAGGAAAACACAGCUUUAAACAAAGGGAACAUGAGGGAAGAAGGGCAGAGGAGACUCAACUGAGCUGGUCCU
Molecule: long non-coding RNA, 1474 nt
Organism: Prionailurus viverrinus (fishing cat)
Lineage: Eukaryota; Metazoa; Chordata; Mammalia; Carnivora; Felidae
Exons: 6
Source: RefSeq, a predicted model, not a curated record